RNAcentral lists this ribosomal RNA (461 nucleotides) under uncultured bacterium. RNAcentral's name for it is "partial 16S ribosomal RNA". It matches the Rfam family "Bacterial small subunit ribosomal RNA", at positions 338 to 795 of the family's 1533-position model. The record is from RNAcentral.
CCUACGGGCGGCUGCAGUGAGGAAUAUUGGUCAAUGGGCUUACGCCUGAACCAGCCAAGUCGCGUGAGGGAAGACUGCCCUAUGGGUUGUACACCUCUUUUGUCAGGGAGCAAUUGGCGCUACGUGUAGCGUUAUCGAGAGUACCUGAAGAAAAAGCAUCGGCUAACUCCGUGCCAGCAGACGCGGUAAUACGGAGGAUGCGAGCGUUAUCCGGAUUUAUUGGGUUUAAAGGGUGCGUAGGUGGUUAAUUAAGUCAGCGGUGAAAGUUUGUGGCUCAACCAUAAAAUUGCCGUUGAAACUGGUUGACUUGAGUAUAUUUGAGGUAGGCGGAAUGCGUGGUGUAGCGGUGAAAUGCAUAGAUAUCACGCAGAACUCCGAUUGCGAAGGCAGCUUACUAAACUAUAACUGACACUGAAGCACGAAAGCGUGGGGAUCAAACAGGAUUAGAUACCCCGGUAGUC